This 279-nucleotide ribosomal RNA is filed under the name uncultured bacterium. Its description in RNAcentral is "partial 16S ribosomal RNA". It matches the Rfam family "Bacterial small subunit ribosomal RNA", at positions 506 to 784 of the family's 1533-position model. The record is from RNAcentral.
UGCCAGCAGCCGCGGUAAUACGGAGGGUGCAAGCGUUAUCCGGAAUUACUGGGUUUAAAGGGUGCGUAGGCGGAACUAUAAGUCAGAGGUGAAAUCACACAGCUUAACUGUGUAACUGCCUUUGAUACUGUAGAUCUUGAAUUAGGUUGAGGUUAGCGGAAUGUGACAUGUAGCGGUGAAAUGCAUAGAUAUGUCAUAGAACACCAAUUGCGAAGGCAGCUAGCUAGGCCUAUAUUGACGCUGAGGCACGAAAGCGUGGGGAGCGAACGGGAUUAGAUA